Molecule: ribosomal RNA, 724 nt
Filed under: Rhizobium sp.
Lineage: Bacteria; Pseudomonadati; Pseudomonadota; Alphaproteobacteria; Hyphomicrobiales; Rhizobiaceae
Description: partial 16S ribosomal RNA
Rfam family: Bacterial small subunit ribosomal RNA
Source: RNAcentral
AGUUUGAUCCUGGCUCAGAACGAACGCUGGCGGCAGGCUUAACACAUGCAAGUCGANUGCCCCCGCCCAGGGGAGUGGCAGACGGGGGGAGUAACGCGUAAGGAGAUACUCCUUUCCUGCGGAAUAGCUCUGGGAAACUGGAAUUAAUACCGCAUACGCCCUACGGGGGAAAGAUUUAUCGGGGAAGGAUUGGCCCGCGUUGGAUUAGCUAGUUGGUGGGGUAAAGGCCUACCAAGGCGACGAUCCAUAGCUGGUCUGAGAGGAUGAUCAGCCACAUUGGGACUGAGACACGGCCCAAACUCCUACGGGAGGCAGCAGUGGGGGAAUAUUGGACAAUGGGCGCAAGCCUGAUCCAGCCAUGCCGCGUGAGUGAUGAAGGCCUUAGGGUUGUAAAGCUCUUUCACCGAUGGAAGAUAAUGGACGGUUAGUCGGGAGGGAAGCCCCGGCUAACUUCGUGCCAGCAGCCGCGGAAAAAAAAAAGGGGCUGUUGUUUUUCCUAAUUACUGGGGCUAAAGCGCACGUAGGCGGAUAUUUAAGUCAGGGGUGAAAUCCCGCAGCUCAACUGCGGAACUGCCCUUUGAUACUGGGGUAUCUUGAGUAUGGAAGAAAAAAAAGGGAAUUCCCAAUGUUGAAGUGAAAUUCAUAUAUAUUCGGAAGGAAACACCAGUGGCGAAGGCGGGCUUUACUGGUCCAUUACUGACCCUGAAGUGCGAAAGCGGGGGGA